This 235-nucleotide ribosomal RNA is filed under the name uncultured bacterium. Its description in RNAcentral is "partial 16S ribosomal RNA". It matches the Rfam family "Bacterial small subunit ribosomal RNA", at positions 99 to 334 of the family's 1533-position model. The record is from RNAcentral.
CGGACGGGUGAGUAACACGUGGGUAACCUACCCAUCAGAGGGGGAGUAACACUUGGAAACAGGUGCUAAUACCGCAUAAUGUCUGCGGACCAAAGCGGGGGACCGUCCGGGCCUCGCGCCAUCAGAUGAACCCAUAUGGGAUUAGCUUGUAGGUAAGGUAACGGCUUACCUAGGCGACGAUCCCUAGCUGGUCUGAGAGGAUGAUCAGCCACACUGGGACUGAGACACGGCCCAG